RNAcentral lists this ribosomal RNA (253 nucleotides) under uncultured bacterium. Its description in RNAcentral is "partial 16S ribosomal RNA". It matches the Rfam family "Bacterial small subunit ribosomal RNA", at positions 524 to 776 of the family's 1533-position model. The record is from RNAcentral.
UACGGAGGGGGCUAGCGUUAUUCGGAAUUACUGGGCGUAAAGGGCGCGUAGGCGGCCUUGUCAGUCAGAAGUGAAAGCCCCGGGCUCAACCUGGGGAAUGCUAUUGAUACUGCAUGGCUAGAGUUUCGGAGAGGAAGGUGGAAUUCCCAGUGUAGAGGUGAAAUUCGUAGAUAUUGGGAAGAACACCGGUGGCGAAGGCGGCCACCUGGACGACAACUGACGCUGAGGGGCGAAAGCGUGGGGAGCAAAUGGG